This 306-nucleotide long non-coding RNA is filed under the name Vigna radiata. RNAcentral describes it as "long non-coding RNA (VRAD_LNC006674)". Lineage: Eukaryota; Viridiplantae; Streptophyta; Magnoliopsida; Fabales; Fabaceae. The record is from RNAcentral.
CUCUUCUCUUUGUCAAAGAAUAUCCAUGGCUGAUCACCCAAAUAUAGUCAAGUCAUCAACAACAUUAGUUCUAGAUAGUACAAUCUCAAUCUUCAUUAUGUUCUUUUUCAGGAUUAUUAGAUGCACCUUUAAAACUAGUGUUCCCCACUCUCCCAUCUUUGUGAGCUUCACCAUAAGUUAUUUAUGAAAAUAUAAAAAAAAAAAAAUUAGAGAAAUUACCAUAACUAUGAACUCAUGCUUCUAGUUAAAAGUAUAAAUAAUUAUUUCAACAUUUUUCAAUAAUAGACGACUUUUAUUCAAAGUUCU